GUGUGCGAGCACACCAGAGCCUUCCACCAGCUGGGUGCCCUGCCUGUCCGGACCACGGCAGGGGUGAUGUUGCCUGCCUCUCCGGACUGCUACAGUUGGUCAGGCUGCUGUCUUGUCUUCCUUUAGUUUUGUUUGAUGUUUGAUUUACUAUUUUGUCUGUUACUUUUGGUUUGAUUGUCUUUGUCCAUUGUCUUUCUUUUGUGAGCAGGCAGAGUGUUAAUGGGGGGGGGGGCCUAGUCACCUGCUGGGGAACUAGAGUGUGUGUACUGAGAGUUGCUUGCUGUGGAGAGUUGCACUACUUAACACUUUCAUACUGGAGAAUUGCUGUGUUUGAUAUAAACUGGUCACCGUUGAUAUUAGCCUGCCCCCUCAGGCCAGCUCUGUCUGUCUCUGUUGAAUGUCUGUCUUUUGUGUUCAAUAAAUUGUUUAUUUAAGGAA
Long non-coding RNA from Sardina pilchardus (European sardine), 438 nucleotides. RefSeq lists it as uncharacterized. NCBI's taxonomy places the organism in Eukaryota, Metazoa, Chordata, Actinopteri, Clupeiformes, Clupeidae. The transcript has 2 exons. The record is from RefSeq and is a predicted model, not a curated record.